GAAAAUAUUUAAAUAUCUCCACCGAACAGAGAGAGCUAAGUGAGACAGACAGAGGGCUGGUACACAGUAGGGAGUGCAUAGAUUUGUAUCUCAUAAAUCCUGAUUUCGUAUGUCUUGUGAUAAAAGAAGAUGCUGGUUGAGAUCUGCACCGUGGCUAUCUGCUGGGUCAUAACAGCAAGCUGUAGUCAGUGCAUAGGUACAGUAUGAUGCUCUAUGACUUGACAAAAGAGUAUAGUAACAUGUUUUGGAAUAAGAUUACUCUCUUUGUAAGCUUUGGCGAGUCAAUUGUUAAAUGUAUUACUGUACUGGACAUUUUUAGAGCCUCGUGAGACAGGUACAAACUUCUCCAUCACAGUGACCCAAGACGUUACAGUAGAGGCUGGACAGUGCAUUCCUAUAUCAUGCAAAUUCACAUACCCAGGCAACGUUACUGAAUACAUACGAAGAGUCUGGUUCAAAGGAGAUGCACUUACACCUGUAUUUGAAAAAGAUGCAGAGGUGUGCUGUGUUUUUGGCAGUUCCUGAGAGGUCCUGAAAGGUCUUGCAGCUUUUUCCUCGAAGACCAACAAGAAGGAGAAAACGAGUAUAGAUUCAAGUUAACAUGGGGAGAUGAUCAAAUGUAUGUUUUUCCUGAGAGGGUACGAGUCUCAGUGUCUGGUACGUAAGAAACUAUGUCAACAAUAUACUACUUUCAUUCUCUUAAAUCGCACUACAGAUUAUAAUGAGUAUUACUGUAUUGGUCUUUGCCUGAUGAAAAUAUCACCUUAUGUGUCCAAGUGAGAAUAAAUGUAGCCUACACACUUCUGAAUUCUAAUAAUGUUAAAUUGCAGCAUAUUUUGUCACUGAUUCAGAACCUCCAAAUGAUAAUAAUCGUGGUUUUCACAUCACAGCAUAAUCUGAAUUAAAAUGCUUGAAAAAUGAAUGGUCAAAGUGAUCAAACUUUGCCAAAUUCUGUUUAGCUCUAACCCAGAAGAAGCCCACUGUGGAGACACCCCCUCUCAUAGAGGGAGAGAGUGCCACACUGACCUGCAAAGUAUAUUCACUCAAACUAAAUGACCUCUGCCCGCAAAGACUAGAAGAAGAUUUUUUUGUUGGAAUAGCCUGGAGAGGGACAGAGAACUUAGGCAUGCAUUUUAGGAUAAUGGAGCCAUCAACAGCAGAAAAUGUAUUCAGUGUGAAUAAGUUGUAUUUCACUCCUAAAUCCGAACAUCACAACAUCAACCUCACAUGUGUGGGCAUCUACAAGAAGGCCAACAUUACUCUGGAGAAAACGGUGACUUUAACAGUAAAAUGUACAUUCACCUUUCAGAGCAUUCCCUCAUUAUCAAAAUACAUUACAGUACUUACUCUUCAAGUCUCUGUUAGGUAAACAAGCAUUUAUUUGUCUUCCCUAGACCGUCCCAAGUUCCUGAAUGGCUCGGUGUGUGUGGUCCAGGCAGAGGUCCUGACCUGUGUGUGUGUCAGUUAGGGGGUUCCCUUACCAGUGAUUGCUUGGCCAAUGUUAGGGGUCUAUAUUAGUUACAGUGUCAUCGUCUCCAGGAGUGCCCAAACCGUGAACAGCACCAUCACCAUGUCUGCCUCAGAAUACAAGAACAGCAGCGUGGAGUGUGUCAGCAGCAAUGUAAUUGGCCAGACCAAGAUGGAAUUCCCCAUACUACACCAAGCUGAAGGGAGUCUGACACAUAUCCCUGGGUCAGAGAAGAGGGAUGUUGCAGUCUUUCCCUGGAUAAUCGUUGGCUUGUCCCUCAGCCUUAAUGUGGCCCUCCUUGUCUAUCUGACCAGCGCUUGUAAAUGCAAAAAGGGUGGACAGAAGAGAGCUAAAGAAGAAGAUAGUACCUACAUCUCAUUGGACAAGGCGGACGUGUCUCCUGAAUAUGACAUCAUCUCCCCGAAUCCCCAUUGAUCCUCUGCUUGUGAUAAACUUCUACUUUAUUUUAGCGUUUGGUUCUGAGGCAUGAUUUUGCUCUUUUAUUUCAAUUUCAAUUAUUUUCUAUUGCUAUACUUUUUGUUGUAGUUGCUUGAGCCCUGAAAACAUUUUGACGUGAAUGAAUUCAACCUAUUUUCUGAAUAAUGUCUCAGGAUUUAUGCACAAAAAAUAAUUCAAUUGUAACAGUUUUUCUGUAAAAGCACAUACGGAAGCUACAAGUUAAGUGUUAUCUUCCUCAUGUUCAACUAUGUUAAUCAAAAUGUUAUGCAGAUAAUCAAGGUACCACAGUAUGGAACGCAGUUUGGGUCUUUCCGUGUCAAAAAAGAUACACAUCAAAUAACACUAUUUGACACAUUGAAUAAGCUUUUAAUUUGACAUGUCAAAUAAAACAGUUUAAUUGUAGAAUGCUGUGUUGGACUGCAACUUCUGGGCGAGCAGCUAGCUUUAGCUUAGUCCCUAGCAAGAGGUAGCCACAUGUUGUUUGCCUAUUGAAAUUGAACUUCAGUUCAUGACAAGAAAUAGCUAGCCAGCUCCUAAACCCUGGUGCCCAAAGUUAACGUUAUAUACUGCCAGCAAGCUUCAUGAGGCUCGACCAGACCGGGUUAUGUGUUGUGAAGCUAGCCACAAUAAGGAGUAGGCACAAUAGUGGCAUUUGCGAUUUGACUUCAAAAUAAAAGUUCCUCUUUGAAAGUGAUGCAGAAGGUAACAACUGGUGGAAUCAUGCCAUAUUUAGAUUAGAUCAUGUUAAACAAGGUUGGAAUGUGAAGCAAUAAAAUGGGGUAUCAGUCUACUCGGUGACACCCACAGAACACGACUGUGAAGAGUAUACUCAAAUAUUAGCGUUGUAGCUCUUAUUGCGGGACUGUGACUGUGUGAAAUCGCCUCCCCAGUCAGCCUAUUGUGUGUAUUGACAUUCAUAUUGUACUGUACAGCUUUACCUAAGGAUUGGGGAUCAAUGAAAUAGGGUAUCAGUCUACUCAAUACCCAAUAUAUUUUUUCACAACGUCAUCCUCAGUUAUCAGACUCCAAAACAUCCACGCAGUAUUGUUUUUCCUCUGGAAUAGUGUUCAAUACACAUAGCUUGACAAUAAAUGUGUCUCAGUUCAGUUGUUUCAGAGUCCAGCAAUAAGAGCUACAGUACGACGAUAAUGUUCCCUGGGUGUCCUGAGUAGACUGAGACCCCAUGUCAUUAAUCCACAAUCUAUAGGUAAAGCUGUACUGUGAAAUAAGUAUUUUUUAAAGUUUUAAUUCACUUUUAUUUAACCGGGUAGGCCAGUUGAGAACAAGUUGUCAUUUACAACUGCGACCUGGCCAAGAUUAAGCAAAGCAGUGCGACAAAAACAACAACAGAGAGUUACACAUAAACAAACGCACAGUCAAUAACACAAAAGAAAGAAAAAUAGAAAAAGUUAUCUACAGUGUGUGCAAAUGUAAAAAUAAUUAUACAAAUAUAUAUGAAAUAUAUAUGAAGAAAACUGAUAUAUACAAGGGACGGGACAAGACAAUCAAAACAGACAUCCCCACUGCUACACCACCUUGGUUUAGUAUGCCCCCAAUGCAAUUCUAAAGCAUAAUCCAUUCAGUGUGAUUUCAACAGAAACAAUUUUAGUGCAAUUGUAUUAACUCUGAAAAUAUCUUAUUAUAAUGAUUCAGGAAUAUGUUAUUCUUGUUGUUAUUCACUAGGGUUAAUGUUUUAAUAAGAUAAUUUAAUUCAAUCAGAAAAAUGUGUAAUUUUGGUAUAGAAUUUUUGAAUUUUUGUUUGUGUAUAAAGUUUUUGGCAAAAAUAAUUAAAAAAUUAA
Oncorhynchus masou masou (cherry salmon) is the source of this 3726-nucleotide long non-coding RNA. RefSeq lists it as uncharacterized. NCBI's taxonomy places the organism in Eukaryota, Metazoa, Chordata, Actinopteri, Salmoniformes, Salmonidae. The record is from RefSeq and is a predicted model, not a curated record. The transcript is spliced from 4 exons.